UCGCGGCGACAACACCGGCUGUGUUCCCUGCUGCUGGCGAAUGAUGAAUACAGGAGGCGAGCGCCUCUGAGGCAGUUCCUCUGCGGCGAGAGGGUCGCGGGCUCUGGCAGGCAGGCAGGCUGCUCCCUCUCCCUCUCUCCCUCUCCGAAGAAGGCGCGUCCGGCUUCCCGGUUAGCUGUGUGCGCGCCCUACGCCGGGAGCCUAGCUCGAACCAGAGCCCCAGCUCGGGGGCUGCCAAAGGAAGGGCUCCGCUGCAGUGGCGCCAGCCCGGGCCGCGGGAGAAGCCGCCGUUCCCGCGCCCACUCCUCCCCGAAGGGUAGGCUUCUCGCCGCCUGGUUGCUCAGAGAGAGCCAAAGUCCCGGGGACUUCUCUUGGUCAGUAGUCAGACGAGGAGGCGGCAGCCAGAAGGAGGUCAGCUGUUGCCCCCACGGUGAACGAGUCUGUCCGCUUGACCCGCCGUGGGCAGAAGGGGAUCGAGGCAAAGAGGAGAAGGCAGCAGCUCGUUGGCAUCUAGCGCCGGGGACUGCCGGGGAGCCUGGACGAAACAGGAUGGUUGGGCUGCUCCGACUCCGAGCCGGCUGCAGGGCAGCUCUUUUCCUGUGGAUUUUCAGCAACAUCAGCUGCAGAGCCCGGACAGCCCUCUCGCCCUCCCCGUACCACAAGGACGUUCUGCAGGGUAAGACUGAUGUUGUCAUCAACUGGUCCAUUUUUUUUUUUGAAAAAGUACAUAUUUUGGCCUUCCAUCCCAAGGCCACUAAGGAUCCCAAGUAACCCUUUCAUCAUUGAGAACCUGUGGUGACUAUGAAAGAGGGGUGAGAAGUCGUUAAUUACCAAAAGUCAUCACCACUAGUCAACUUGGAGAUGGUAAUUGUCAAUAAUUAAAGGCUUCUGUCUCUUAUUUCAUAGUUCCACAGUUUCCUGACAAUGAAAAGGAUUAUUUGGGACAUGUAGAGGCAUUGAGAUAAGAGGGGAAAUGUUUUAUUUCUAAAAACUGCAUCAUCCCUACACUGUGGAAGUUACAUAAGCAGAAUGGCAGCCACUUAAUGUAAAGAAUGAAACUCACAUGACUCAAGCGCUUGCUUGUGCUGCUUCCUGUGCUCUGUUCUGGCUAUUGAUGACUCAGCUGUUCUGAGAUUUUUCAUUCUUGCACAAGAACAAAAAGAACAGGUCCUCUUUUUUUUUUGGUCAGUAGCAGCAAUAAAAAAAAUAGUGAUUUUGUGCA
RNAcentral lists this long non-coding RNA (1222 nucleotides) under Pogona vitticeps (central bearded dragon). Its description in RNAcentral is "lncRNA (ENSPVIG00000021593.1)". The record is from RNAcentral. Lineage: Eukaryota; Metazoa; Chordata; Lepidosauria; Squamata; Agamidae.